CUGCCUGAUGGAGGGGGAGUAACUACUGGAAACGGUAGCUAAUACCGCAUAACGUCGCAAGACCAAAGAGGGGGACCUUCGGGCCUCUUGCCAUCGGAUGUGCCCAGAUGGGAUUAGCUAGUAGGUGGGGUAACGGCUCACCUAGGCGACGAUCCCUAGCUGGUCUGAGAGGAUGACCAGCCACACUGGAACUGAGACACGGUCCAGACUCCUACGGGAGGCAGCAUG
Molecule: ribosomal RNA, 228 nt
Filed under: uncultured bacterium
Lineage: Bacteria
Description: partial 16S ribosomal RNA
Rfam family: Bacterial small subunit ribosomal RNA
Source: RNAcentral